Salvia hispanica is the source of this 597-nucleotide non-coding RNA. Lineage: Eukaryota; Viridiplantae; Streptophyta; Magnoliopsida; Lamiales; Lamiaceae. The record is from RefSeq and is a predicted model, not a curated record.
CAACCAAAAAUCACAACCUAUGUAUAAUCAUAUUGCCAGCUAAGAUACAAUAGGAGCUUCCCAACUUCCAUUGCAGAUAAUAAUUCAAUAUCAAUAUAUUUAAUAAAAACCUUCCUUUCCUUAUAAGCUUUUCCAAUGGCUGCCAAACUCUUUUGUCAGCAAUGAGUGUUAGAAUCUACAUUGUCAUCUUGUGUUCAUGGGCUCUUCUCACCGCCGUCACUCCCACCCUCGUUCGCCUCGCUGCUUCGGCUAAUCUUCAAUCGAGAUUAGAUGGUGAGGGAAGGGAAGGGUUGAAAUUAUUGUUGCCGAGAAAGGCUCUUGUUGAAUCAAACGUCUCGGUGCCGGUGCUGGCAGUGGCAUCGACACCAGCACCAGCGGCGGCAGACGGCGGCGGAGGUGCGAUUCUUGAGUUGAGGAGUCAUUUUGAUCGGAGUAGAGAAAUAAAAUGACGUUUUUUAUUAUCUGACUUGGAUGGUUGUAUUUGUAAAUAGUGAUACACUUUCGUAGAAGGAUCUUUAUUUAUUUAUUUUUUAAUAAUUUAUAGAGAUAUUUGUCACAAUGAAAUAAAAGAAAUUGCAAUUUAGAGAGGCUUGAGUU